RNAcentral lists this ribosomal RNA (655 nucleotides) under Stenotrophomonas sp. RNAcentral's name for it is "bacterial SSU rRNA". It matches the Rfam family "Bacterial small subunit ribosomal RNA", at positions 66 to 715 of the family's 1533-position model. The record is from RNAcentral. Lineage: Bacteria; Pseudomonadati; Pseudomonadota; Gammaproteobacteria; Lysobacterales; Lysobacteraceae.
GCAGCACAGGAGAGCUUGCUCUCUGGGUGGCGAGUGGCGGACGGGUGAGGAAUACAUCGGAAUCUACUCUGUCGUGGGGGAUAACGUAGGGAAACUUACGCUAAUACCGCAUACGACCUACGGGUGAAAGCAGGGGAUCUUCGGACCUUGCGCGAUUGAAUGAGCCGAUGUCGGAUUAGCUAGUUGGCGGGGUAAAGGCCCACCAAGGCGACGAUCCGUAGCUGGUCUGAGAGGAUGAUCAGCCACACUGGAACUGAGACACGGUCCAGACUCCUACGGGAGGCAGCAGUGGGGAAUAUUGGACAAUGGGCGCAAGCCUGAUCCAGCCAUACCGCGUGGGUGAAGAAGGCCUUCGGGUUGUAAAGCCCUUUUGUUGGGAAAGAAAUCCAGCUGGCUAAUACGGUUGGGAUGACGGUACCCAAAGAAUAAGCACCGGCUAACUUCGUGCCAGCAGCCGCGGUAAUACGAAGGGUGCAAGCGUUACUCGGAAUUACUGGGCGUAAAGCGUGCGUAGGUGGUCGUUUAAGUCCGUUGUGAAAGCCCUGGGCUCAACCUGGGAACUGCAGUGGAUACUGGGCGACUAGAGUGUGGUAGAGGGUAGCGGAAUUCCUGGUGUAGCAGUGAAAUGCGUAGAGAUCAGGAGGAACAUCCAUGG